GAUGAAGAACGUAGCGAAAUGCGAUAAGUAGUGUGAAUUGCAGAAUUCAGCGAAUCAUCGAAUCUUUGAACGCACAUUGCGCCCCUUGGUAUUCCAUGGGGCAUGCCUGUUCGAGCGUCAUUUGUACCUUCAAGCUCUGCUUGGUGUUGGGUGUUUGUCUCGCCUCUGCGUGUAGACUCGCCUCAAAACAAUUGGCAGCCGGCGUAUUGAUUUCGGAGCGCAGUACAUCUCGCGCUUUGCACUCAUAACGACGACGUCCAAAAGUACAUUUUUACACUCUUGACCUCGGAUCAGGUAGGGAUACCCGCUGAACUUAAGCAUAUCAAUAAGCGGAGGA
Molecule: unclassified non-coding RNA, 337 nt
Filed under: soil metagenome
Description: partial contains 5.8S ribosomal RNA, internal transcribed spacer 2, and large subunit ribosomal RNA
Rfam family: 5.8S ribosomal RNA (bases 1-120)
Source: RNAcentral